AGGAUAAUGCCAAUAAUCCUAUGGAUGCAAUUGAUCCACAGGUUUUGGAGGAACAUUUCCAGUUGGUUAAUAACUUCAUUCAAACAUAAAUGAAUAAACAACCUAGUGAAACUCAACAAAUUCAAGUGACAACCAUAUCACAGGUUAUUGAUACACAACAACCUGCUCUCCAGAAUUUACCAAUUGAAACUGAAAGGAGGCCAAUGAAGAGCAAAAUUGAGACUAGAGGAGGAAAGAAAAAUAACAUAGUUGUAGGUGCUAAGCAACAUGAUGUAACAAAUCCUGUGGAACCUACAACCAACAGAGAAUCAAGCAAGAAGGCUCCUGCAACCUCAAGAGCUCCUGUGUUGAGACCCAGAAUGAAGAACAA
This is a long non-coding RNA of Dioscorea cayenensis subsp. rotundata (Guinea yam), 370 nucleotides long. RefSeq lists it as uncharacterized. NCBI's taxonomy places the organism in Eukaryota, Viridiplantae, Streptophyta, Magnoliopsida, Dioscoreales, Dioscoreaceae. The transcript has 3 exons. The record is from RefSeq and is a predicted model, not a curated record.